GAUGAACGCUGGCGGCGUGCCUAAUACAUGCAAGUCGAGCGAACAGACGAGGAGCUUGCUCCUCUGACGUUAGCGGCGGACGGGUGAGUAACACGUGGAUAACCUACCUAUAAGACUGGGAUAACUUCGGGAAACCGGAGCUAAUACCGGAUAAUAUAUUGAGCCGCAUGGUUCAAUAGUGAAAGGCGGUUUUGCUGUCACUUAUAGAUGGAUCCGCGCCGCAUUAGCUAGUUGGUAAGGUAACGGCUUACCAAGGCAACGAUGCGUAGCCGACCUGAGAGGGUGAUCGGCCACACUGGAACUGAGACACGGUCCAGACUCCUACGGGAGGCAGCAGUAGGGAAUCUUCCGCAAUGGGCGAAAGCCUGACGGAGCAACGCCGCGUGAGUGAUGAAGGUCUUCGGAUCGUAAAACUCUGUUAUUAGGGAAGAACAAAUGUGUAAGUAACUAUGCACGUCUUGACGGUACCUAAUCAGAAAGCCACGGCUAACUACGUG
RNAcentral lists this ribosomal RNA (497 nucleotides) under uncultured bacterium. RNAcentral's name for it is "partial 16S ribosomal RNA". It matches the Rfam family "Bacterial small subunit ribosomal RNA", at positions 28 to 507 of the family's 1533-position model. The record is from RNAcentral.